UCACAUGCAGUGCCGGGAUAACUAAAACUCUGAGUUCUGUUUACUUCAGAGUUUUGGUACCCCGGCUCCAUAUGGA
Branchiostoma floridae (Florida lancelet) is the source of this 76-nucleotide non-coding RNA. NCBI's taxonomy places the organism in Eukaryota, Metazoa, Chordata, Leptocardii, Amphioxiformes, Branchiostomatidae. The record is from Rfam.